GACUAACGCUGGCGGCGUGCCUAACACAUGCAAGUCGAACGAAGCAGCAAUGCUUAGUGGCAGACGGGUGAGUAACGCGUAGAUAAUGUGCCCUCUUGCGGGGGAUACCGUUUCGAAAGGAACGUUAAUACCGCAUAAAGUCCUUAGAAGGCAUCUUUUAGGGACCAAACUUCCGGGGCGGGAGGAGCAAUCUGCGUACUAUCAGCUAGUUGGUGAGGUAAUGGCUCACCAAGGCUACGACGGUUAACUGGUCUGAGAGGAUGAUCAGUCACACUGGAACUGAGACACGGUCCAGACUCCUACGGGAGGCAGCAGUGAGGAAUAUUGCACAAUGGGCGAAAGCCUGAUGCAGCGACGCCGCGUGGAGGAUGAAGGAUUUCGGUCUGUAAACUCCUGUCAGUAGGGAAGAGAAUGGACGGUACCUACUGAGGAAGCUUCGGCUAACUACGUGCCAGCAGCCGCGGUAAU
RNAcentral lists this ribosomal RNA (468 nucleotides) under uncultured bacterium. Its description in RNAcentral is "bacterial SSU rRNA". It matches the Rfam family "Bacterial small subunit ribosomal RNA", at positions 28 to 524 of the family's 1533-position model. The record is from RNAcentral.